AAUAGAUACCCAGGUAGUCCAUGCCGUAAACGAUGUCUACUAGCCGUUGGGUCCUUUGAGGACUUAGUGGCGCAGCUAACGCGAUAAGUAGACCGCCUGGGGAGUACGGUCGCAAGACUAAAACUCAAAUGAAUUGACGGGGGCCCGCACAAGCGGUGGAGCAUGUGGUUUAAUUCGAUGCAACGCGAAGAACCUUACCUGGCCUUGACAUACUAGAAACUUUCCAGAGAUGGAUUGGUGCCUUCGGGAAUCUAGAUACAGGUGCUGCAUGGCUGUCGUCAGCUCGUGUCGUGAGAUGUUGGGUUAAGUCCCGCAACGAGCGCAACCCUUUUCCUUACUUGCCAGCAUUUUGGAUGGGAACUUUAAGGAUACUGCCAGUGACAAACUGGAGGAAGGCGGGGACGACGUCAAGUCAUCAUGGCCCUUACGGCCAGGGCUACACACGUGCUACAAUGGUCGGUACAAAGGGUUGCUACCUAGCGAUAGGAUGCUAAUCUCAAAAAGCCGAUCGUAGUCCGGA
RNAcentral lists this ribosomal RNA (520 nucleotides) under uncultured bacterium. RNAcentral describes it as "bacterial SSU rRNA". It matches the Rfam family "Bacterial small subunit ribosomal RNA", at positions 777 to 1297 of the family's 1533-position model. The record is from RNAcentral.